Molecule: ribosomal RNA, 433 nt
Filed under: uncultured bacterium
Lineage: Bacteria
Description: partial 16S ribosomal RNA
Rfam family: Bacterial small subunit ribosomal RNA
Source: RNAcentral
GGGGGGGGGGGGGGGGGGGGGGGGGGGGGGGGGGGCGGGGGGGGGGUGCGGGGCGGGGGGCGCACGGGGGCGUGACGCGUGGGGAGCUUCCGUUCGGUUCGGAAUAACUCCCCGAAAGGGGUUCUAAGACCGGAUAGUGUCCUCGGACCAAAGAUUUAUCGCCUUUGGAUGGGCCCGCGUUGGAUUAGCUAGUUGUUAUGGUAAAAGCCUACCAAUGCGACGACCCAUAGCUGGUCUGAGAGGAUGAUCAGCCACACUGGGACUGAGACACGGCCCAGAAUCCUACGGGAGGCAGCAGUGGGGAAUAGUGGACAAUGGGCGAAAGCCUGAUCCAGCAAUGCAGCGUGAGUGAUGAAGGCCUUAGGGUUGUAAAGCUCUUUUACCCGGGAUGAUAAUGACAGUACCGGGAGAAUAAGCUCCGGCUAACUCCGUG